CUGCUCAAUGAUUUUUUAAAUUGCUGUGGUAUUUUGACUAUACGAAGGUAUUGAAAUAAGACUUUUAAUGAGUGCUAAGAGAAUGAUUGAACAAUUUACAACUGUCUUUUUAUUAAUUAUUGGAAUUUGAUUUUUUUGUGCAAAAGCAAAAAUAAAUUUAAGGGACAAGAAGACCCUAUGAAUUUUUUAAUUUUAUUUGUAUAUUUAUAUUAAAAAAUAAAAUUUAAUUGGGGUGAUUAAAAAAGAACAAGAAUCUUUUUAAUUUUAAAAAAUUGAUCCAUUUACUAAUGAUAAUUUGAUAAAAAUACUCUAGGGAUAACAGCGUUAUAAUUUUGGAUAGCACAUAUAGAUAAAAUUGAUUGCGACCUCGAUGUUGGAUUAGGAUUCUUUCUUUGGUGAAGAAGCCAAGAAAAGAAGUUUGUUCAACUUUUAAACUCCUACUUGAUCUGAGUUCAGACCGG
This 461-nucleotide ribosomal RNA is filed under the name Ixodes tasmani (Tasmanian possum tick). RNAcentral's name for it is "partial 16S ribosomal RNA". The stretch from base 163 to 461 matches the Rfam family "Bacterial large subunit ribosomal RNA", at positions 2078 to 2619 of the family's 2925-position model. Lineage: Eukaryota; Metazoa; Arthropoda; Arachnida; Ixodida; Ixodidae. The record is from RNAcentral.